GAUGAACGCUGGCGGCGUGCCUAAUACAUGCAAGUCGAGCGAACGGACGAGAAGCUUGCUUCUCUGAUGUUAGCGGCGGACGGGUGAGUAACACGUGGAUAACCUACCUAUAAGACUGGGAUAACUUCGGGAAACCGGAGCUAAUACCGGCUAAUAUUUUGAACCGCAUGGUUCAAAAGUUCAAGACGGUCUUGCUGUCACUUAUAGAUGGAUCCGCGCUGCAUUAGCUAGUUGGUAAGGUAACGGCUUACCAAGGCAACGAUGCAUAGCCGACCUGAGAGGGUGAUCGGCCACACUGGAACUGAGACACGGUCCAGACUCCUACGGGAGGCAGCAGUAGGGAAUCUUCCGCAAUGGGCGAAAGCCUGACGGAGCAACGCCGCGUGAGUGAUGAAGGUCUUCGGAUCGUAAAACUCUGUUAUUAGGGAAGAACAUAUGUGUAAGUAACUGUGCACAUCUUGACGGUACCUAAUCAGAAAGCCACGGCUAACUACGUG
Molecule: ribosomal RNA, 497 nt
Filed under: uncultured bacterium
Lineage: Bacteria
Description: partial 16S ribosomal RNA
Rfam family: Bacterial small subunit ribosomal RNA
Source: RNAcentral